Molecule: ribosomal RNA, 253 nt
Filed under: uncultured bacterium
Lineage: Bacteria
Description: partial 16S ribosomal RNA
Rfam family: Bacterial small subunit ribosomal RNA
Source: RNAcentral
UACGAUGGGGGCUAGCGUUGCUCGGAAUCACUGGGCGUAAAGCGCACGUAGGCGGCUUUUUAAGUCAGGGGUGAAAUCCUGGAGCUCAACUCCAGAACUGCCUUUGAUACUGAGAAGCUUGAGUCCGGGAGAGGUGAGUGGAACUGCGAGUGUAGAGGUGAAAUUCGUAGAUAUUCGCAAGAACACCAGUGGCGAAGGCGGCUCACUGGCCCGAUACUGACGCUGAGGCACGAAAGCGUGGGGAGCAAACAGG